This 76-nucleotide transfer RNA is filed under the name Methanobacteriota archaeon. Its description in RNAcentral is "Euryarchaeota archaeon (marine metagenome) tRNA-Asp". It matches the Rfam family "tRNA". From Rfam's summary of the family: Transfer RNA (tRNA) molecules are approximately 80 nucleotides in length. The record is from RNAcentral. Lineage: Archaea; Methanobacteriati; Methanobacteriota. RNAcentral also lists the same sequence under 2 other names.
GCCCCGAUGGUGUAGUGGCCUAUCAUGUAGCCCUGUCGAGGCUACGACCCGGGUUCAAAUCCCGGUCGGGGCGCCA